This 28-nucleotide small RNA is filed under the name Bombyx mori (domestic silkworm). Its description in RNAcentral is "ovarian small RNA-17298". The record is from RNAcentral. Lineage: Eukaryota; Metazoa; Arthropoda; Insecta; Lepidoptera; Bombycidae.
GGACUGGGAAUGACACAGGUGAGCCAGA